RNAcentral lists this ribosomal RNA (718 nucleotides) under Actinacidiphila glaucinigra. Its description in RNAcentral is "bacterial SSU rRNA". It matches the Rfam family "Bacterial small subunit ribosomal RNA", at positions 56 to 792 of the family's 1533-position model. Lineage: Bacteria; Bacillati; Actinomycetota; Actinomycetes; Kitasatosporales; Streptomycetaceae. The record is from RNAcentral.
UGCAGUCGAACGGUGAAGCCCUUCGGGGUGGAUCAGUGGCGAACGGGUGAGUAACACGUGGGCAAUCUGCCCUGCACUCUGGGACAAGCCCUGGAAACGGGGUCUAAUACCGGAUAUUACCUUCCUCUGCAUGGGGGUUGGUGGAAAGCUCCGGCGGUGCAGGAUGAGCCCGCGGCCUAUCAGCUUGUUGGUGGGGUAAUGGCCUACCAAGGCGACGACGGGUAGCCGGCCUGAGAGGGCGACCGGCCACACUGGGACUGAGACACGGCCCAGACUCCUACGGGAGGCAGCAGUGGGGAAUAUUGCACAAUGGGCGAAAGCCUGAUGCAGCGACGCCGCGUGAGGGAUGACGGCCUUCGGGUUGUAAACCUCUUUCAGCAGGGAAGAAGCGAAAGUGACGGUACCUGCAGAAGAAGCACCGGCUAACUACGUGCCAGCAGCCGCGGUAAUACGUAGGGUGCGAGCGUUGUCCGGAAUUAUUGGGCGUAAAGAGCUCGUAGGCGGCUUGUCACGUCGGUUGUGAAAGCCCGGGGCUUAACCCCGGGUCUGCAGUCGAUACGGGCAGGCUAGAGUUCGGUAGGGGAGAUCGGAAUUCCUGGUGUAGCGGUGAAAUGCGCAGAUAUCAGGAGGAACACCGGUGGCGAAGGCGGAUCUCUGGGCCGAUACUGACGCUGAGGAGCGAAAGCGUGGGGAGCGAACAGGAUUAGAUACCCUGGUA